This 482-nucleotide ribosomal RNA is filed under the name uncultured bacterium. RNAcentral's name for it is "bacterial SSU rRNA". It matches the Rfam family "Bacterial small subunit ribosomal RNA", at positions 30 to 506 of the family's 1533-position model. The record is from RNAcentral.
UUGAACGCUGGCGGCAUGCCUUACACAUGCAAGUCGAACGGUAACAGGGAGCUUGCUCCGCUGACGAGUGGCGAACGGGUGAGUAAUGUAUCGGAACGUACCAUUGAGUGGGGGAUAACGUAGCGAAAGUUACGCUAAUACCGCAUAUUCUCUCCGGAGGAAAGCGGGGGACCGCAAGGCCUUGCGCUCUUUGAGCGGCCGAUAUCAGAUUAGCUAGUUGGUGGGGUAAAAGCUCACCAAGGCGACGAUCUGUAGCGGGUCUGAGAGGAUGAUCCGCCACACUGGGACUGAGACACGGCCCAGACUCCUACGGGAGGCAGCAGUGGGGAAUUUUGGACAAUGGGCGCAAGCCUGAUCCAGCCAUGCCGCGUGAGUGAAGAAGGCCUUCGGGUUGUAAAGCUCUUUCGGCGGGGAAGAAAUCGCACUGGUUAAUACCUGGUGUGGAUGACGGUACCCGAAUAAGAAGCACCGGCUAACUACGU